AUGCUACCCACCUGGAAGGCGCAUCUCAUGAACAAAGUCGGCCGCCUCGCGUUCGUCAAGGCCAUCCUCAGCGCAAUCCCGAUUCACCAGCUACUUGCUCUUGCGCCCCCCAAGAAGACCAUCCGGGCACUCGAGAAAAUUCAGCGAGGCUUCUUGUGGGCUGGACGCGCGGAGGCAAACGGAGGCCACUGCCAUGUCAACUGGCAACGCGUCGCUAGGCCGCUCCCGCUCGGUGGCCUCGGCGUGCGCGACCUUGGCCGUACCAGCCUCGCGCUCCGCACCCGCUGGUUGUGGUUCAGCCGCACGGACAGCACCAGAGCAUGGGCCGGCCUCGACCUGCAGUUCACCGCCGAGGAGCGUGCCUUCUUCUUCGCAUCUACCACCAUGCAACUCGGGAACGGCACGGAGGCUCUAUUCUGGGAAGAUCGAUGGAUUGGCGGGCGUUCUGUUUGCGAGAUUGCGCCGCUCCUCUACGCCUGCAUUCCCAAG
RNAcentral lists this ribosomal RNA (489 nucleotides) under Triticum aestivum (bread wheat). RNAcentral's name for it is "partial small subunit ribosomal RNA". Lineage: Eukaryota; Viridiplantae; Streptophyta; Magnoliopsida; Poales; Poaceae. The record is from RNAcentral.